This 358-nucleotide ribosomal RNA is filed under the name Acontista sp. MN517. Its description in RNAcentral is "partial 12S ribosomal RNA". Lineage: Eukaryota; Metazoa; Arthropoda; Insecta; Mantodea; Acanthopidae. The record is from RNAcentral.
UUUUUAAUGUAAAUUUAUUAACCAGAGUAUUAUUAGUUAAGAUCUUAAAACUUAAAGAACUUGGCGGUAUUAUAGGUCUAUUUAGAGGAAUCUGUUAAGUAAUCGAUAAUCCACGUUGAACCUUACUUAUAUUAAUUCUUGUAUACCACUGUUAAGAAUAUAUUAUAAGAUUAUAUUCAUGAUAAAUAAUUAUUUAUAAUUUCAAGUCAAGGUGCAGUUAUAUAUAAGAUUAUUAAUGGAUUACAAAAAAUUGUAUUUAUAACGAAUAUAAAUUGAAAUAUAAAUUUGAAGGUGGAUUUAACUGUAAAUUUUAAAAGAUUAUAAGGUUGAUUUAAGCUCUAUAAUAUGUACACAUCGC